AGAACGAACGCUGGCGGCAUGCCUAAUACAUGCAAGUCGAACGAAGGCUUCGGCCUUAGUGGCGCACGGGUGCGUAACGCGUGGGAAUCUGCCCCUUGGUUCGGAAUAACAGUUGGAAACGACUGCUAAUACCGGAUGAUGACGAAAGUCCAAAGAUUUAUCGCCAAGGGAUGAGCCCGCGUAGGAUUAGCUAGUUGGUGAGGUAAAGGCUCACCAAGGCGACGAUCCUUAGCUGGUCUGAGAGGAUGAUCAGCCACACUGGGACUGAGACACGGCCCAGACUCCUACGGGAGCAGCAGUAAGGAAUAUUGGACAAGUGGGACGAAAGCCUGAUCCGAGCAAUGACCGCGUGAGUGACUGAAGGUCCGUUAGGUGUAAAGCUUACCGUUUACCGAG
This 396-nucleotide ribosomal RNA is filed under the name uncultured soil bacterium. RNAcentral describes it as "bacterial SSU rRNA". It matches the Rfam family "Bacterial small subunit ribosomal RNA", at positions 26 to 446 of the family's 1533-position model. The record is from RNAcentral.